AGGAGGAAAAGUUUUUUUGUCUGUUUCCUCUAUAGGUGCCAAAUCAUUUCAUCUGGCUGAUCUUUUUUUAUUGGUAUUUUCACUCCUGCCUCAAUUGCCUUGCAGAACUGCUAUGAUUUGGAGACUGGCAAUUUUACUUUGAUUGGUGGAAUGCGGAUUCACUCUUACAGUUCUGGUCCAGAUGGAAUAUCCCAGCCCACAAAUGGCUAGACAGACACAUCUACAGGCCUUUGCUGCAACAUGGCUAUGACAAGUGGCAAGCCCGAAUGACUAUGUUCCUACUCUCUGCAUGUUUCUAUAAGGUCCCACUGGCUUGCAUAAUGAAAAGGCUUUUUGGGGGUAGUUUUGGCAACAUCCUCAUGUGGAUCAGUCUUGUCCUCGGUCCUCCCCUCACGAUUCUCUUGUACUUUCAUGACUUACAUUCUGCACCAUUGGAAGGAUUCAAGCUGGGGGAUGUUUUUUUUCUGACCUUCCCAUGUCUUCAUUGCCUUGCAUUCUUUGCCUUGCUUUGUCAACAGCAGAAAUACCAAUAUUUGGCUCAUGGUAUAAUCACAGAUUGAAGCCACCCUCAUCUUCAAUAUGAAAGGAAUGGCUUCAGCUUGCUAAGCCCCAGCUGGCCACUAGGCUGAAGAUAAAGCCUUGUGUGAAGGUUUCCCUCCAUAUUGCAGGUGAGUGAUCACAGACCAAAGCUGUGGAACCCACAUGUAUUUAGGCCUUUUGGCCAGUCUCUGUCUCUGUGCAAGGUCUCUGGGUAACUAAGUAACAGCUCUUUUCAUUGGAAAAUUCUGCUGACUAUAAAUAUAAUAACUAUAAUAGAUUCUCUUUCUUCCUUUUAAAAUACUGCUGUUUAUUAAAACAUCUU
Alligator mississippiensis (American alligator) is the source of this 862-nucleotide long non-coding RNA. RefSeq lists it as uncharacterized. The record is from RefSeq and is a predicted model, not a curated record. Lineage: Eukaryota; Metazoa; Chordata; Crocodylia; Alligatoridae. The transcript has 4 exons.